Molecule: long non-coding RNA, 632 nt
Organism: Populus euphratica (Euphrates poplar)
Lineage: Eukaryota; Viridiplantae; Streptophyta; Magnoliopsida; Malpighiales; Salicaceae
Exons: 3
Source: RefSeq, a predicted model, not a curated record
AGUAAAGUACAUGUACCAAUUCAUAUUCUAGCAGCAUCAUUAAUGUAGAUUAAGCACAGUUUUGUGGAACCAGGACUAAAAAAUACACAAAACUCAAGUUGGCUGCACAACCAGUAAUAAUUAAAUUAGUCCAUCAGAAGAUUCAGAACUGCAUUUUUCAAAAUCUUCAGGAAAGCAAAGAUGAAUCUGUAUAAUUUUUAUGGACGUGUUAUCGAAUUGUGGAACGGAUGGGAGCUUCGAGCAAUGAUCUUGCUGAGUCUCUCGCUGCAAAUUUUCCUCACCGUCACUGGCAGUCGACGAAAGUAUACAGCCGGAAUCUGGUUCGGGAUGUUUGUUUGGCUAGCAUAUUUGUCAGCAGAUUGGUUUGCGACUAUUACAUUGGGUAUUCUUGCUCGUAGCCAAGGGGGUUCAGAAUCCAAAGGUACCACUUCAAAUGCAAGUUUCAUCCCGGCAUUUUGGGCCCCGAUGCUCCUUGUGCACCUUGGUGGUCCUGACACUAUUACUGCCUAUUCAGUAGAGGACAACGAAUUGUGGUCGAGGCACUUGCUUCAGCUAUUAACCCAACUAGCGGUGGCUUUUUAUGUUUCGUUGAGGUCAUGGUGGAGCAAGGAUCCGCUAAUAUAUGUAGUGAU